UGUUCUUGCCUUUGUGGAUCUUGAGGGCUUCACUCCAGUCCAAGCUUGGAAUUCCUGUCUGCAACAGAAUACAAUCUCAACCUUGCACAGGGACCAGAUGCACCAGCUGUUCCAAGCAGAUGGACCACCUUAGGAAGAGUUGCUCUUCUGUUCGCUCCGCCAAGAAGCCUCAGCCACCCAAAUUCAGGAAAACAGUGGCAGAAAGCCCUUGGAAGAAACUUACACUGGUCAGGACUCACAUGAUGGAAGGAAAGAACCAAGUCUCCCAUGGGUCUUCUGGUCUCCACAUGUAUGUCUUGAUAUGUGCACAUGAUAUGCAUGUACAUACACAGGCACAACAAAUGUAAAACGAACCAAAAACUCUUUAGUAAGUCACAGGGUUAGAUAAAUGACUUAGCAAUCAUGUAUAUACUCCUCUUGCAAAGGGCUACAGUUGAGUGCCCAGCACCCACCUCACAAUCACCAGGAACUCCAGCUUCAGGGGACCUGAUGCCCUCUUCUGGCCUGUUAGGAACCUGCCCUCACAUGCACAAACAGAAAUACACAUGACUUUUAAAAGUAAAACAAAAUCUCUUUAAAAAUCUGAGAGUUACAGUAGCCAUCUCAAAACAAAAACCUCCAAGCUGGUCUGCAGUCUGAGCUCCCAUAAGCCACUUCACUGGAAAGAAAGAACUGGCUAACUUAGUGCCUUGUCACUAAAAAGGCUCAAUUCUACUCCUGGGGACCUCUUAAUCUUGUCAAUGACCCUACUAAAGAGUAAACUCA
Molecule: long non-coding RNA, 765 nt
Organism: Mus musculus (house mouse)
Lineage: Eukaryota; Metazoa; Chordata; Mammalia; Rodentia; Muridae
Product: predicted gene, 41431
Exons: 2
Source: RefSeq, a predicted model, not a curated record